GCGGGCGUGGCGAAAUUGGUAGACGCGCCAGAUUUAGGUUCUGGUAUCUUACGAUGUGGGGGUUCAAGUCCCUCCGCCCGCACCA
RNAcentral lists this transfer RNA (85 nucleotides) under Alphaproteobacteria bacterium. RNAcentral describes it as "tRNA-Leu". It matches the Rfam family "tRNA". Rfam says of the family: Transfer RNA (tRNA) molecules are approximately 80 nucleotides in length. Their secondary structure includes four short double-helical elements and three loops (D, anti-codon, and T loops). Lineage: Bacteria; Pseudomonadati; Pseudomonadota; Alphaproteobacteria. The record is from RNAcentral. RNAcentral also lists the same sequence under 2 other names.